GCAAGUCGAACGCGAAAGCCCUUUCGGGGGCAAGUAGAGUGGCGCACGGGUGAGUAACGCGUAGAUAACCUACCUUUAAGUCUGGGACAACUUCCUGAAAAGGAAGCUAAUACCGGAUAACAAUUUUAAUCUAGUGAUUGAAAUUUGAAAGACUUCGGUUGCUUUGGAGAUGGGUCUGCGUGACAUUAGCUUGUUGGUGGGGUAAUUGCCUACCAGGGCGACGAUGUCUAGUGGGUCUGAGAGGAUGGCCCGCCACACUGGAACUGAGACACGGUCCAGACUCCUACGGGAGGCAGCAGUUAGGAAUCUUGCGCAAUGGGCGAAAGCCUGACGCAGCAAUACCGCGUGAAUGAAGAAGGCCCUUGGGUCGUAAAGUUCUUUUAUAGGGGAAGAUAAUGACGGUACCCUAUGAAUAAGCACCGGCUAACUUCGUGCCAGCAGCCGCGGUAAUACGAAGGGUGCGAGCGUUGUUCGGAUUUACUGGGCGUAAAGAGCAAGUAGGCUGUUUUUUAAGCAGAGGAUGAAAUCCCGAGGCUCAACCUCGGAACUGCUCUCUGAACUGGAAAACUAGAGAAAGAUAGAGGUAAGCGGAAUUCUUGGUGUAGAGGUGGAAUUCGUAGAUACCAAGAGGAACACCGGCGGCGAAAGCGGCUUACUGGAUCUUCUCUGACGCUGAGAGGCGAAAGCGUGGGUAGCAAACAGGAUUAGAUACCCUGGUAGUCCACGCCGUAAACGAUGAGUAUCAGCCGUUUGGAGUUUUACUCUAAGUGGUGCAGCUAACGCUUUGAAUACUCCGCCUGGGGAGUACGGUCGCAAGACUAAAACUCAAAGGAAUUGACGGGGACCCGCACAAGCGGUGGAGCAUGUGGUUUAAUUCGAUGCAACGCGAAGAACCUUACCUAGAUUUGACAUCCCUUGACAACCUUAGAAAUAAGGCUUUCUCUUCGGAGACAAGGUGACAGGUGCUGCAUGGCUGUCGUCAGCUCGUGUCGUGAGAUGUUUGGUUAAGUCCAGCAACGAGCGAAACCCCUAUCUUUAGUUAUUAACAGGUCAAGCUGAACACUCUAGAGAAACUGCCGGUGUUAAACCGGAGGAAGGUGGGGAUGACGUCAAGUCAGCAUGGUCCUUAUAUCUAGGGCUACACACGUGCUACAAUGGUAACUACAAUGGGCUGCUAAACUGCAAAGUCAAGCUAAUCCCUUAAAGGUUAUCUCAGUUCGGAUUGUAGUCUGCAACUCGACUACAUGAAGUCGGAAUCGCUAGUAAUCGCGGAUCAGAAUGCCGCGGUGAAUACGUUCCCGGGUCUUGUACACACCGCCCGUCACACCACGAAAGUUGAUAUUGGCAGAAGAGGCUAAGCUAACCGCGAGGAGGCAGGU
RNAcentral lists this ribosomal RNA (1379 nucleotides) under uncultured bacterium. Its description in RNAcentral is "16S ribosomal RNA". It matches the Rfam family "Bacterial small subunit ribosomal RNA". The record is from RNAcentral.